RNAcentral lists this ribosomal RNA (440 nucleotides) under uncultured bacterium. Its description in RNAcentral is "partial 16S ribosomal RNA". It matches the Rfam family "Bacterial small subunit ribosomal RNA", at positions 338 to 795 of the family's 1533-position model. The record is from RNAcentral.
CCUACGGGCGGCAGCAGUGGGGAAUAUUGCACAAUGGGGGAAACCCUGAUGCAGCGACGCCGCGUGAGUGAAGAAGUAUUUCGGUAUGUAAAGCUCUAUCAGCAGGGAAGAAAAUGACGGUACCUGAUUAAGAAGCCCCGGCUAACUACGUGCCAGCAGCCGCGGUAAUACGUAGGGGGCAAGCGUUAUCCGGAUUUACUGGGUGUAAGGGGAGCGUAGACGGCAGCACAAGUCUGGAGUGAAAUGCCGGGGCUUAACCCCGGAACUGCUUUGGAAACUGUGCAGCUAGAGUGCAGGAGAGGUAAGUGGAAUUCCUAGUGUAGAGGUGAAAUGCGUAGAUAUUAGGAGGAAAACCAGUGGAGAAGGCGGCUUACUGGACUGUAACUGACGUUGAGGCUCGAAAGCGUGGGGAGCAAACAGGAUUAGAUACCCUUGUAGUC